This 242-nucleotide unclassified non-coding RNA is filed under the name Glomeraceae sp. RNAcentral's name for it is "partial contains 5.8S ribosomal RNA and internal transcribed spacer 2". The stretch from base 1 to 71 matches the Rfam family "5.8S ribosomal RNA", at positions 84 to 154 of the family's 154-position model. Lineage: Eukaryota; Fungi; Glomeromycota; Glomeromycetes; Glomerales; Glomeraceae. The record is from RNAcentral.
GUGAAUCAUCAAAUCUUUGAACGCAAAUUGCGCUUCCUGGCAUCCCGGGAAGUAUGCCUGUUUGAGGGUCAGUAUUAAUAAAAAAUCGGUUUAUUUACAAAUUGUGACGUUUCCGGAGUUUGGGCUAUCUUACCAUUUUUGGUUAAGAGGCUUAAAAUUGACCUUUUUUGCGCAUUUUUAAACGUCCAUAAUUUUUUUUUUUUCUUCUUUUCUUAUUGCAAAAAUCUUAUUAGAUCCGUUCG